GGUUAAGUUAAUAAUGGCGCAUGGUGGAUGCCUUGGCACUAGAAGGCGAUGAAGGACGUGACUAACUACGAUAUGCCUCGGUUAGCUGUAAGUAAGCUUACCCGGGGGUUUCCGAAUGGGGCAACCCGAUCUUAAUGAUCAUCAUCUUUUUGAAUUCAUAGAUUAGAUGAAGCAAACGCUGUGAACUGAAACAUCUAAGUAGCAGUAGGAAAGUAAAGAAAUUUCGAUUCCGUCAGUAGCGGCGAGCGAACGCGGAAGAGCCCAAACCUGGAUGCUUGCAUCCAGGGGUUGUAGGACUGAUGUUGAGUUACAAAGGUAUAAGAUAGCAGAAACAGUUGGGAAGCUGUUCCAAAGAGGGUGACAGGCCCGUAUGCGAAAUCUUGUACUCUCUAAUCAGGAUCCUGAGUACGGCCCAGCACGUGAAAUUGGGUCGGAAUCUGGGAGGACCAUCUCCCAAGGCUAAAUACUAACUAGUGACCGAUAGCGAACAAGUACCGUGAGGGAAAGGUGAAAAGAACCCCGGAAGGGGAGUGAAAUAGUUCUUGAAACCGUGUGCUUACAAGAAGUUCGAGGCCGUUAAUGGCUGAGAGCGUGCUUUUUGUAGAAUGAACCGGAGAGUUACGAUUGCGUGCAAGGUUAAGGUGCAAAGACUGGAGCCGUAGCGAAAGCGAGUCUUAAUAGGGCGAAUCAGUACGUAGUUGUAGACCCGAAACCGAGUGACCUAUCCAUGGUCAGGUUGAAGGUGGGGUAAUACCUACUGGAGGACCGAACAAGUGGGUGUUAAAAAACCCUUUGAUGAACUGUGGAUAGCGGUGAAAUUCCAAUCGAACUCGGAGAUAGCUGGUUCUAUCCGAAAUACAUUUAGGUGUAGCCUUGCAAUUAGCUUACUGGAGGUAGAGCACUAUUUGGUCUAGGGGCCCUUCAAGGGUUACCAAAAUCAGAUAAACUCCGAAUGCCAGCUAAGUAUGUGCAGGAGUCAGACGGUGAGUGAUAAGAUCCAUCGUCAAAAKGGGAACAGCCCAGAUCACCAGUUAAGGUCCCUAAAUAUAUGCUAAGUGGAAAACGUUGUGAAGGUGCAUAGACAACUAGGAGGUUGGCUCAGAAGCAGCCACCCUUUAAAGAGUGCGUAAUAGCUCACUAGUCAAGUGCUCUUGCGCGGAUAAUGUACCGGGGCUAAGCAUAUUACCGAAACUGUGGAUGCGUAAGCAUGGUAGGAUAGCGUAAUUAACGCGAUGAAGGAUGACCGUAAGGACAUGUUGGAGCGUUAACUAGUGAGAAUUCCGGUAUGAGUAGCGAAAGAUAGGUGAGAAUCCUAUCCACCGAAUGAGUAAGGUUUCCCCCGGAAGGCUCGUCCGCGGGGGGUUAGUCGGGACCUAAGGCGAGGCUGAAAAGCGUAGUCGAUGGACAACAGGUUGAUAUUCCUGU
Molecule: ribosomal RNA, 1425 nt
Filed under: Oenococcus oeni
Lineage: Bacteria; Bacillati; Bacillota; Bacilli; Lactobacillales; Lactobacillaceae
Description: bacterial LSU rRNA
Rfam family: Bacterial large subunit ribosomal RNA
Source: RNAcentral